This 315-nucleotide ribosomal RNA is filed under the name Triticum aestivum (bread wheat). RNAcentral describes it as "partial small subunit ribosomal RNA". The record is from RNAcentral. Lineage: Eukaryota; Viridiplantae; Streptophyta; Magnoliopsida; Poales; Poaceae.
AUGCCCCUGCGCACCGCCGUGGCACAGGCCCCCACCAGGGAUCCUGCUGCGACGCACUUCUCAAAAGCAAGGACAAUGACGAGAUUCUCUCCUUCGGUGUUGGCGUCAUUGCUCUCGGCUACCUACCGCAUCAAGGACAUUCAUAGGCCACGAAUCCAGCGGAUGCUAGCACGUGGGAAGUGGAGCUGCCGCGGUGAGUUACUCCAUCAGAGUGAGGACAACGACACUUCUUGCAGCAAAAAACUGCAGCGUUCUUCAGUAUAUUUCCAUAAAUAUUUGAGGCAAUCGUCUGUAUCCGUUCAACAAAAAAAUUGA